AGGGUUUGAUUCUGGCUCAGGAUGAACGCUGGCGGCGUGCUUAACACAUGCAAGUCGAGCGAAGCAGUUAAGAAGAUUCUUCGGAUGAUUCUUGAUUGACUGAGCGGCGGACGGGUGAGUAACGCGUGGGUGACCUGCCCCAUACCGGGGGAUAACAGCUGGAAAUGACUGCUAAUACCGCAUAAGCGCACAGGACCGCAUGGUCCGGUGUGAAAAACUCCGGUGGUGUGAGAUGGACCCGCGUUUGAUUAGCUAGUUGGUGGGGUAACGGCCUACCAAGGCGACGAUCAAUAGCCGACCUGAGAGGGUGACCGGCCACAUUGGGACUGAGACACGGCCCAA
RNAcentral lists this ribosomal RNA (342 nucleotides) under uncultured bacterium. RNAcentral's name for it is "bacterial SSU rRNA". It matches the Rfam family "Bacterial small subunit ribosomal RNA", at positions 8 to 334 of the family's 1533-position model. The record is from RNAcentral.